GAUACCACCAGUUCUAAUGGUGGGCGGGCCUUUAACUUCUCUCUGUGUCCUUAAAUUUUCUGCCUCUUAUUGGAUUAGGCUACAAGCUGCGAGUUUAGGAAAACCGAAGCGUCGAACCUGGCAAGGACUGGCGAAACCAACUGAGAGUACGGUAGAAGGGCCGGGAGAAGAGGCAGUUUGUCUGCUGAAGGCGCCGCUCCUGCGGAGGCUCCUGGAGGGAGCCGGAGCCGCUUUUCCUGCUUCUACCCUUCGCAGGUCAGAAGCAGCUGGAUCCACUCUUCUGCCUUUGCCCAGGUUGCGGGUCCUUCGGAGAACGGUGGCUUCACGCGCAGAAUCCCCAAGGCUCAGCUUUUGUGGCUAUGUUAGAAUGAUUCGGGGCACUGAAAUCUAAUUUUUAAAAAAAUCUUUUUUUUUUUUUUUGCUGUGAACCUUGGAGCUUGGUAUAAAUAUCCAGUGACGAAUUGUACAAGAUAUUAGGUACUGAAAGUUCCCACCUCCUCACCAGUACCAAAAUAAAUUAAUUAAAAAGUAAAAUCUGCCCGGUGCGAAGGGGGACAUACCUGUAACCCCAGCGACUUGGGAGGCCGAGGCAGGAAAAUUGCAGUUUCUAGAUCCUCAGCAAUUUAGCAACACCCUGUCUCAAAAAGGGCUGGGAUAUAGCUCAAAGAUGAAGCGCCCCUGGGUUUAAUCCCCAGUUCAAAAAAAAAAAAAAAAAAAUCAGACCGGUAAGUAAGCAAUUUGUCGUGUUAUUUUGCCCUGAGGACGGGAAAGGGAAGGACCUCUUUCUGUCUUCUUCCUCUCGCCCUCACACACAACCUUUUCAUUCUCAGCUUUACAUAUCUAAUGUUAUUGUCAGGUCUAAGACCAGAACCCUGGUCUGUAACUCAGAUUCUUUUCCAAAAUUUAUUCAAAUGUGUGACUCACUUUGAGGUGAAUUUAACCUAACAAUAAAGUAGCUAGUAUAGUGUGGCUGGAGUAGAGCAUUUGUGAGAAGAAAUAAUAAGAAUACAAAAAAAAAAAAAUUUAAAUGUAGUAAUGAUAGGAACUUGGGGUACAGCAUUUGCCUAGAAUACACAAAACCCUGGGUUUGGUGUCCAGCAACGUGCAGACACGAUUUAAAUAUAAGAAUUAUGUGAGUUUGAUUUAGAGUUAAUUUUAAAAAAUCAUUUUAUGGGGCUG
RNAcentral lists this long non-coding RNA (1179 nucleotides) under Marmota monax (woodchuck). The record is from RNAcentral. Lineage: Eukaryota; Metazoa; Chordata; Mammalia; Rodentia; Sciuridae.